Molecule: ribosomal RNA, 800 nt
Filed under: uncultured bacterium
Lineage: Bacteria
Description: bacterial SSU rRNA
Rfam family: Bacterial small subunit ribosomal RNA
Source: RNAcentral
AGAGUUUGAUCCUGGCUCAGAACGAACGUUGGCGGCAUGGAUUAGGCAUGCAAGUCGAGGGAAUCCGCCGCAAGGCGGGGAACCGGCGUAAGGGGCAGUAAGGCAUGGGUACCUACCCCGGGGUUCGGAAUAGCCACCAGAGAUGGUGGGUAAUACCGGAUGACCUCGUGAGAGCAAAGAUUUAUCGCCCUGGGAGGGGCCCAUGUGAUAUUAGCUAGUUGGUGAGGUAACGGCUCACCAAGGCUAAGAUGUCUAGCGGGUGUGAGAGCACGACCCGCGCCACUCGCACUGAGACACUGGCGAGACACCUACGGGUGGCUGCAGUCGAGGAUCUUCGGCAAUGGGGGCAACCCUGACCGAGCGAUGCCGCGUGCGCGAUGAAGGCCUUCGGGUUGUAAAGCGCGAAAGAGGGGAGAAAAGCCCGAAAGGGUUUGAUCUAUCCUCAGUAAGCUCGGGCUAAGUUCGUGCCAGCAGCCGCGGUAAGACGAACCGAGCGAACGUUGUUCGGAAUCACUGGGCUUAAAGGGCGCGUAGGCGGGCUGCCAAGUCUGGGGUGAAAUCCCGCGGCUCAACCGUGGAACUGCCUCAGAUACUGGCGGCCUCGAGGGAGAUAGGGGCGAGCGGAACUAAUGGUGGAGCGGUGAAAUGCGUUGAUAUCAUUAGGAACUCCGGUGGCGAAGGCGGCUCGCUGGAUCUUUUCUGACGCUGAGGCGCGAAAGCUAGGGGAGCAAACGGGAUUAGAUACCCCGGUAGUCCUAGCCCUAAACGUUGGGUACUAGGUAGUAGGCUAGACAUGGGUU